Molecule: long non-coding RNA, 1276 nt
Filed under: Lotus japonicus
Lineage: Eukaryota; Viridiplantae; Streptophyta; Magnoliopsida; Fabales; Fabaceae
Description: long non-coding RNA (LJAP_LNC001692)
Source: RNAcentral
CGCUAAGCGCAUGAUAUAUGGCGCUCAGCGCCAUGCAAUUUCUAGAGUACUGGCCAAAAUGCGCUUAGCACUUGCCAGUGGCGCUGAGCUGUUCUGUUCCAAUAAAAAAAACACUUUCAUUUAUUCUUUCUCACUGCUCGAGAGUCAAUCUCACUCGUCCCUUUCCCUUGCUCGCUUCUCUUCCUCUCUCACUCACUCACCUCAUCAACACAUUUUAUCACUCACACACUAACUCUUCAUCCAUCUCACUCGUCUUGCUCCCUCUCCUUGAUUCUGAUUUUUUCUUUUUCUUUUCCCUUUCUUCCCACGUGGUUCAAGUAAGUUGAUCCUUUCUUUUCUUUUUUUCAAUUCCAUGCAUUUAAACUUAGAUUUAGAGAGUCUUAAAUUUCUGGUGGUGAAGUGAUAUUGAACUGUUCAAGCACGAAUUUCUCAUGUGGAUUUCAAUCUUUAAUCAAUGGCAUGGACCCUAGGGUGUUAAAAUGAUUUAUCUUAUGAAUCCUAGAACUGAAUUGGGGAUGUGUGAUUCUUUGGGUUCAGUGGUUAAUUGAAUGUUUUAUUAUGAAAUCGACACUACAUUGUUGAAGGAUUAUCUAAUUUGGUGAAGAAACUCACUCUCUUGUAUCAAAAUUCAAUGAACCAUUGCAAUGCACACUAGGUGUUUGAUGAUUUGUGUAAGUGAAAUCUGUUUUGAAAUUGCUUGAGGAUAAUUAGGGGAUUAAAUUCUGGAAUUUGGGACUUGAGUGCCUAAUAUUUUCUCUCAUGUUCUAAUGAGUUUGGUAUAUAAUUCAAUGUCACUUGUUGAAAGCUAUUGAGUUGACAUGAGCGACGUGAUUCCUCAAUGUUGUUUAUUGGUUUCUAAUUAAGGGUUGAGGUGUUACUUUGGUUGAAAUCGUUGAUAAUAUGAAUCUUGCUUAAACUGAAUUGGUUUCUUGGUUCUCUUUGUGUUUGGUUUCUAAGAUUAUUUUGCCUUGAUUGGUGAGCGUUGAUUAUUGUAAAAUGAAAACUUGUGCUCUUGCUUAUGACAUGACUUACAAAUGCCUUGAAUUGAAAUGAGAAAUGAAGUCAUAAGUGAUUCUUGCAUCUUUUCUUUGCUUGUACAUUUUAAUUUUUCUAAUUUGUGAGAAUUACUCUUCUUGUGUUUUUCAGGAUGGUAAGACUAAAAGUGCGGGUGCGGAAAGAACCACCAUGUCAAACACCUACCGAGGAUUCACCGCCAUUGGUUUCGUUGCCAUACGAUAGACACACAUUCAGAUCACAAGCUCACUAUCAUAGAUAC